This 468-nucleotide long non-coding RNA is filed under the name Pan troglodytes (chimpanzee). Its description in RNAcentral is "long non-coding RNA NONPTRT003819". Lineage: Eukaryota; Metazoa; Chordata; Mammalia; Primates; Hominidae. The record is from RNAcentral.
UCAUUUUCUUCCCUCCAGGAUCGUGGGAACAAUAUCCCAGGGGGGUGUACCCUUUCUGCCAUAUAUGUAGUCACAUCACCCACUCUGCCUUGGAAUAUUAUUAAGGACCACCUAACACGAGGGUGUAUACGUCCUGUGAUAUUACGAGUAAUAUCAACUUCUCGGCCUCUGAAUAUGAGGAAGAAUAUCACAGGGAUAUUAAUAACAAUUUCACAGGCUGGGUGAACACAGCCGGCGAUGCUGACAUUAUCAUCAUCCUCUCCCCCUCUUCCCCUCCUGGCUCUCAGUCCCCGCCUCACGGGUUAUGUAGCGGGUUAUGGCAAGAAGACAAACUGCAGUCUCCUGCACAGAACAGCACAAACAAUGAUCCAAGCUCAGUUACAACACAAUAUUGGUCAUCAUUUGACCAUGGACUUCAUAUCAACCCUUAGAAAUGUUCCUAAAACAGUCUUAGAAUCUCAAGUGACU